Hydra vulgaris (swiftwater hydra) is the source of this 172-nucleotide non-coding RNA. Lineage: Eukaryota; Metazoa; Cnidaria; Hydrozoa; Anthoathecata; Hydridae. The record is from RefSeq and is a predicted model, not a curated record.
UGCUUACAAAGGAGUUUAAAUUCAAAGAAAAAGAAAGAAUUGAUUUUUUGUUUUUACAAGUAGUUUGAAAUUUUGAAAAACAUCAAAAGAAUGAAGAAUCAAGAGUUAGAAACCAAUCUAUUGAAACCAAGUGAAGAAGAAAAAGAAAAUUUGAUGCUAAAGUACGAAACAG